UACGUACCGUCCAAACGUUAUUCGGAAUUACUGGGCUUAAAGGGUUUGUAGGCGGCGCUGUUAGUCGGGUGUGAAAUCCCAGGGCUCAACCCUGGAACUGCGCCCGAUACUGCAGUGCUUGAGGGAGACAGAGGUAAGCGGAACUGAUGGUGGAGCGGUGAAAUGCGUUGAUAUCAUCAGGAACACCGGUGGCGAAAGCGGCUUACUGGGUCUCUUCUGACGCUGAGAAACGAAAGCUAGGGGAGCGAAGGGGAUUAGAUACCCCCGUAGUCCUAGCCGUAAACGUUGAGCACUUGAUCGAGGGCCCCCCCAUAGGCUCUCGGUCGUAGCGAAAGUGUUAAGUGCUCCGCCUGGGGAGUAUGGUCGCAAGGCUGAA
Molecule: ribosomal RNA, 376 nt
Filed under: uncultured bacterium
Lineage: Bacteria
Description: bacterial SSU rRNA
Rfam family: Bacterial small subunit ribosomal RNA
Source: RNAcentral